GAUGAACGCUAGCGGGAGGCCUAACACAUGCAAGCCGAGCGGUAUUGUUUCUUCGGACAUGAGAGAGCGGCGUACGGGUGCGUAACACGUGUGCAACCUGCCUUUAUCUGGGGGAUAGCCUUUCGAAAGGAAGAUUAAUACUCCAUAAUAUAUUGAACGGCAUCGUUUAAUAUUGAAAGCUCCGGCGGAUAGAGAUGGGCACGCGCAAGAGUAGCUAGUUGGUGAGGUAACGGCUCACCAAGGCGAUGAUCUUUAGGGGGCCUGAGAGGGUGAGCCCCCACACUGGUACGGAGACACGGACCAGACGCCUACGGGAGGCAGCAGUGAGGAAUAUUGGUCAAUGGGUGCAAGCCUGAACCAGCCAGCCCGCGUGAAGGACGACGGCCCUAUGGGUUGUAAACUUCUUUUGUAUAGGGAUAAACCUACCCUCGAGAGGGUAGCGGAGGGUACUAUACGAAUAAGCACCGGCUACCUCCGU
This 478-nucleotide ribosomal RNA is filed under the name uncultured bacterium. Its description in RNAcentral is "partial 16S ribosomal RNA". It matches the Rfam family "Bacterial small subunit ribosomal RNA", at positions 28 to 506 of the family's 1533-position model. The record is from RNAcentral.